GGGGGACAACGUCUCGAAAGGGACGCUAAUACCGCAUACGCCCUACGGGGGAAAGGGGGGGAUCUUCGGACCUCUCGCUAUCAGAUGAGCCCAUGUCAGAUUAGCUAGUUGGUAGGGUAAAGGCCUACCAAGGCGACGAUCUGUAACUGGUCUGAGAGGAUGAUCAGUCACACUGGAACUGAGACACGGUCCAGACUCCUACGGGAGGCAGCAGUGGGGAAUAUUGGACAAGGGGCGCAAGCCUGAUCCGGCCAUGCCGCGUGUGUGAAGAAGGCCCUAGGGUUGUAAAGCACUUUCAGUGGGGAGAAAAGUGAUUCACCUAAUACGUGAGUCAAUUGAUGUUACCCACAGAAGAAGCACCGGCUAACUCCGUGCCAGCAGCCGCGGUAAUACGGAGGGUGCAAGCGUUAAUCGGAAUUACUGGGCGUAAAGCGCACG
This 438-nucleotide ribosomal RNA is filed under the name uncultured Cellvibrio sp. Its description in RNAcentral is "bacterial SSU rRNA". It matches the Rfam family "Bacterial small subunit ribosomal RNA", at positions 138 to 571 of the family's 1533-position model. The record is from RNAcentral. Lineage: Bacteria; Pseudomonadati; Pseudomonadota; Gammaproteobacteria; Cellvibrionales; Cellvibrionaceae.